GGAUAAGCGAUAGCAUAGGAUGGACUGGACUGAGGGAUUCACACAUGAAUGGGAUCCAAGGAUAUGAAUCAAUUUAGGGAUUUAUUUGAUUUCCGCUAGCACUUGAUUUUGUUUUGUUUUCGGUGUAUGCCCACUCGGGCAUAUGGAUCUUGUUGAUUGUUAAGUUAAAUUUGAGGGUAAUAUUUUAAGUUUUAAAUUAAGGAAAAAU
Molecule: long non-coding RNA, 208 nt
Filed under: Zostera marina
Lineage: Eukaryota; Viridiplantae; Streptophyta; Magnoliopsida; Alismatales; Zosteraceae
Description: long non-coding RNA (ZMAR_LNC005423)
Source: RNAcentral